Non-coding RNA from Paramuricea clavata, 237 nucleotides. The record is from the annotation of a GenBank genome assembly. NCBI's taxonomy places the organism in Eukaryota, Metazoa, Cnidaria, Anthozoa, Malacalcyonacea, Plexauridae.
UCAAUGGUAAAGAACUAACCUGCGUCGUUUGCACAAAAUAGUUCAACUGGCUGAAGAAUAUUAGAUCUCUACCUAAAAUUUGAGGGCAAUACUGUUCAUCCUUAUAACCGCAUAUUUAGACCCAAACUUAGGCAUGUAAUCGCAAAAGUUUAUUAAUAAAAUUUUGUUGGGUUUGAUCAAAAACACGAUCUUCAGAUGUAAAUAUUUAUUUUACACCUGACUUAACACGCAAACGAC